UUGAUUGAUGGUGAGAAUGGGUGGCAUAUGAGUCAUAAUCAAUGAAUAUGUUUCCGUAACAAAUAGGUGUCCAU
Molecule: non-coding RNA, 74 nt
Organism: Mesocricetus auratus (golden hamster)
Lineage: Eukaryota; Metazoa; Chordata; Mammalia; Rodentia; Cricetidae
Source: Rfam